AUGCUUACUAGUGGAGUCUCUACUCAUUCUAAUUUUAAGUAAGUAGCAUUAAUUUUAUUUCCCUUGUUGAUUAUAGUUUUGUUUAGAGCUGGAGCUUGCAAGCAGUCUUUCUUGUCCUUCUUUCAAUGCUGAAGGAGAUGUUAAUAUAUGUACGAGACCAAACUCCACUGAUUGCCAGAUAAAGAUAAGAUUUAACGUUACCAUUGAUCGAUGGAUACUAGUCUCUGGAGAUUGUGCAGUAAAUUGCCAAAACUACACCUAUACGACAUUCGGUACCACGUUCAAGGUGGGAUGCUGUCCAAAAGUGGAAGGCAAAGUUCACUGUCCCCUGGACGGGAGAGUUUUUGGUGAUGGCAUCAAGCCGCUUCUCCCCCACCGUCCCGACCCAACUCCUUCAGUCGCUCCAAGUCCAAGUAGUACAGCAAUGGAUGCAAGCAGAACUGGAUCUAUUCAUCCCAACCCAACUAUCACUCAUGUUGAUGGUGAUGAUCCCACGACUGAUCCAAAUAAUCCAGACAUUAUCACAAAUUACGUAUACCCAGCUGGCAUUUGCCUUGAGAUUGCAAUAUUUGCUGUGACUCUAAUUGUCUUGAUAAGGGAGGGGUAUAAGUUCUGCCAGAACAGAAUAAGAGAGAGAGCUGCUGCCGAUAGGAAUCUGCAGCAUUAAGGACUGUUAGACUUUGACUACCUAAUUUUUUUCUGUUUACAUCUGCAUUUUUGAUUUUCCAUGUAAAUCAAAUAUAACAUGCCAUGCGUCCAGCUCUGUAUGGGCUUUGAAACAUUUUUCUUUUACAGGCCCAACUCCUCCUACUACUGGUACCUC
Amphimedon queenslandica is the source of this 823-nucleotide RNA transcript. RefSeq lists it as uncharacterized. The record is from RefSeq and is a predicted model, not a curated record. The transcript is spliced from 2 exons. Lineage: Eukaryota; Metazoa; Porifera; Demospongiae; Haplosclerida; Niphatidae.